RNAcentral lists this long non-coding RNA (4397 nucleotides) under Sus scrofa (pig). RNAcentral's name for it is "lncRNA (ENSSSCG00055028363.1)". The record is from RNAcentral. Lineage: Eukaryota; Metazoa; Chordata; Mammalia; Artiodactyla; Suidae.
AUUUCAAGUUUCUUUGGAAAAUAGGAAGGGAUACUAUCUGAAUUCUUUGUUAAGGGCUAGAUAGAUUCAAAUUGAUCCUGUGCUCUGUCUAUCUAUAGUAUUGUCUCAGUGUAAUGGCAUAUACAAAAACCUUACUUUUAAGUAAUUAACAAUAUAGUUGAAAAGACAUUCCUCUUUAUAUCAAAUUAAAAAUAGCAAGUGUCAAAAUAUGAUUUAGAUGGUAAUUUCAGUGGUAGCUUAGAGAGGAAGGAAAAAUGUGCAUAGGCAUUGCUAGGAAUACUUAUAUAUAGAUGUAUGUAUGACAAAUAUUUGUAUGUACAUAUUUGUGUAUAUACAUAUAUAUUUAUAUAAGGAUCAUUGUUGUUUCAAGGUUUGGGCUAAAGAAUCAGAAAAUGGCUUCAAAUUCUUGCUUGCUUAUAUAUCAUCUCUGUGACCCUGAGCAACUGUUAUAGCCUUUGUCUCAUUUGUGCAAUGAAAAUAUUAAUAUCUACAUCACUAAUUUUUUAUGUCUUAAAUAUAAUAGUGUUUGUGAAACACCAAUUUGUAGUGUAUAAUAAAUUGUAAUUAUUUUAUCAAUUAUCAAUUAUAUCAAUAUGCUUAGUGACUCUAUAAAAAGAAGAUGUAUGUUUUCUUGUUAGUAAAAGAUUUUAUAGUGUAUAGUUCAGUAUUUUUACAUUAGUUUUUUGCAGUGUUCAGCUACAGAAAUACCCCAAAUAUGUGACAGCAGGACAUUCAGAAUUGUCAGAUUGAAGAAUGGAUUGUAAAUUUGUUGCUAAGCCAGCAGAAGAUAUGCUUGUCUAACUUUACUGAAGUGUCAGAGUACAUGAGACUUUGAGCAGUGAUGAGUGAGUUUGGUCAAAAUGUUGAAAUCAUGCAUACAAGCCACUUUAUGAUGAGGCUAUUCUUUAUUUCUCUGUUGAAAGAUAAAGUGUCUUGCUCACUUUUUCCAUAAAAUGAGGGGAUGUAUUUAGAUAAAGCAUUUUUUAAUUAAAUAAAAUUUGGGGAGUACAUUUUUUAUUUCCAAUGAUCUGUAUAAAGCCGUAUGUGUUUUGCUUCUUAAAGAAAAGAACAGUUUCUAAAAGACCAUAAAACCAUUAGUUAAAACUGUCUUUGUCAAUUAAAUUCCACAAGAGUAUUUUUUAUUACAACAAUUAUUUAUAAUCCAAAUAUCAUCACCAAUUGUCCUUUAAAAGUUGUGGUUCAGUCUUUCGCUGCUCUUUUUUAUUCUUUUAAUGGCUAACUCUGUGGCACAUAGAAGUUCUCAGGCCAGGGGUCAAAUCAGAGCUGCAGCCUCCAGCCUUCACCACAGCCAUGAUAACAUGGGAUCUGAUCAGCACUUGUGACCUAUGUUGCAGAUCUUGGCAACUCCAGAACGAACCUACAUGGUCACAGACACCAUGUCUAAUUCUUAACCUGCUAAGCCAUAAUGUGAACUAUUUUCACUGCUCUUAAUAACAAAGUAGUCAUGCUGUUCCAAAUGCAAUGAGUGCCUAGUGUACUCUCUGAUGAGAAUUAACAUUAUAGAUUGGAAUGGAGCUAGGCUCAACUUUUGGCUCUUGUACCAUGGGACCUUGAGCAAGUGUUCCAGAUACUCAGCAUUGCAUAGGAACACGCCUUCCCCCAAACUUAGUGACUUAAAAUGAUAAACAUUAGUUUUUCUUAUAAAUUUGGGCAAGAUUCAGCAAGGACAGCUCAUCUCUUCCUCAUGCAGCAUCAGCUGGGGCAGGUCCAGUGGCCUGGAGAAUCUACAUCCCAGGUAGUUCACUUACCCCCUGGCUGGAGGGUGAUGCUGGUGUCAGCUGGGAGCUCAGCCACAGCCAUGCACCAAAAGCCUAAGUUCUCCAUGUGGCUUCUCUUCAUGGCUCUUUGGCCUUGCUCUUGGCAUGGUGGCCAACUUCUUUUUUUUUUUUUUUUUUUUUUUUUUUUUUUUUUUUUUUUGGGAGGUUACCAGGCCAGGGGUCAAAUUGGAGCUACAGCUGUGGGCCUAUGCCACAGCCACAGCAAUGAAGAGUCUGAGCCACAUAUGCAACCUACAUCAUAGCUCACAGCAUUGCUGGAUCCUUAACCAAACGAACGAGGCCAGGGAUCAAACUUGCAUCCUCAUGGAUACGAGUCAUGUUUGUUAUCGCCGAGCCACAAUAGGAAUUCCUAAAAGGCUACAUUCUUUAUUAUCUUUUGUAACUAAUUUUUUGUAGGAAUAACUAAAAAAAAAUUUGUAUACAAAAUACUUUGUACAACAUCUGACUCGAUCUGAAUGUGUAGUACUUAUAAAUGGAUUUGCUGUAGUUAUUAUUACUGAUGUAUCAUACAGUGAAGCACGGGUUCUUUUCUCUUUGGUGAUGAUUUUAUUUAUUUAGAAAAGUAAAUUUACUCUGGCUUAGGAGUAUGUAAAAAAGGAAUAUUGAAAUAAAAAGUUAGAAACUGUUAUUACUGAAUGUCCAAAAAAAAUAGUGAAAUGGCAAUAAUCUUCUUCAUGACUGCAAGAAGUAGUUCCCCUGCAAGAAAGGUUGAAUAUUUUGAAGCAUGAUCCACAAUUUAUUAUUAUUAUUAUUAUUAUUUUAUUUUAUUUUUUUUAGGGCCAUACCCAUGGCAUAUGGAGGUUCCCAGGCUAGGGGUCAAAUCGGAGCUGUAGGUGCUGGCCUAUACCACAGCAACGCCAGAUCCGAGCCACGUCUGUGACCUACACCACAGCUCACAGCAACGUCAGAUCCUUAACCUACUGAGAGAGGCCAGGGAUUGAACCCGAAACUUCAUGGUUCCUAGUUGGAUUCGUUUCCACUGUGCCAUGAUGGAAACUCCCACAAGUUAUUAUUAAUAUAUUUGUAUCUGAUAUUGAGAUUUUCCUUCAGUAGUUAUUAAUAGGUUAUUGUGGAAAAAACACAAUAUUUUAUGCAUAUUUUACCCUUAGGUUUUAGGGGCUUUUUUCUUUUUCUUUUUCUUUCAAUUCUCCAAUAUUCCCUGCCUUCUCUACUUAUAUGAUAGCAAAUUUUAAUUUUCAUAACUACAGAACAGCAUCUAGGAAAAUAGUAAUGAUACUGCCUAUCCCAAUUUAUUAAAUUUCCUGAGUUCUAACAUUUUGAGAAAUGAUGCUCAUCACAUAUUUUGCUGAUAUGUCAUUCAAGUUUAUCUAAACUUAUGGAAUAUUGAGCACCUAUGAGUAAAAAACAGUCAAUUACAUUAAUAUCAUUUCCUGUCACAGAGGACACAAUUCAAUAUUUCAUCAGAUGAUGAGAACUGCACAGCAUGAUAUGCCAACUAGGAUUCCUGGUCAUCCCUUGACUUAGAAUUCUCUAAUAAUAAAGAUAAACCUAGAAAACAUUGCUUGCAAUAUAUAACCUAACAAUUCAAUUUUUAAAAUAAAGUACGUAAAGAAUAGGUCACACAUUUCUUGAUUCUGUUUUUUAGCAGACAUAAAUCUGUACAUGUGGCACAUGUGUGUGAUAAUACUUUCCAACUGUAUUUCAGUCAACACCCAGAGACUUUAAUUUUCUGAGGACAAUUUCAAACAUCAAUAAUGGCAAUUAUAUGGCAAGAUAUGUACUUCAUUAAUAUUAGUGGUAUUUCAAUAACUAUACUCAUUGUAUGUACCUUUAUUAUAUACUUUUCUAUAAAAAUUUGUUUGAACUUUUUAAUACGUAACCUGUCUUUUGUGGUUAUUUUAAGAAACAAAGUUCCUCAAAUCAGAAACAUAUUUUUGAAAUAGAAAAACUGUGUUUUAACUUAUUUAUUAUGCAAUUUUAUGAGAAUAUUUAUAUAUUUUACAUUUUAUUCUUCUAGCAUUCUUGCUACUUGCAGCUGGUGUAUUCUUAAUUGCAAGGUGUAGUAACAUCUUCUUCCUAAAAUAAACAGAGAAAUUUGUUUGCAGAAUAUAUGAAAAAAAUUGUUUUUAGGACAUACAAUAUCCAAUAACAUAGGACAACAGUAUAUAUUUUAGGCUUUGCAGGCCAAAGAGACAAUAUUGAGGAUAUCAUGUACUAUAUAAUUAUUUAAAAAUGUGAAAGUCAUUCUUAGCUCACAAGUGGCGUAAAACCAGCAGACAGUGGCCAGAUUUGGCUAAAGGGCAAUAGUUUACCAAUUCCUGCUGUAGUAAGUAGGGAGUAGUAUGGUCAUCUCUACCAUUUAAAAAUGUAGGCAUUCCCAUAAUGGCUCAGCAGAAAACAAAUCUGACUAGCAUCUAUGAGGAUGCAGGUUCGAUCCCUGGCCAUAAUCAGUGGGUUAAGAGUCCAGCCUUGCCAUGAGCUGUGGUUUAGGUCACAGACAUGGCUUGGAUCCUGCAUUGCUGUGGCUAUGGUGUAGGCCAGCAGUUUCAGCUGCAAUUCGACGGCUAGCCUGGGAACCUCCAUAUGCUGUGAGUGCAGCCCUAAAAAGACAAAAAAAAAAAAAAAAAAAAAAAAAAA